This 820-nucleotide ribosomal RNA is filed under the name uncultured crenarchaeote. RNAcentral describes it as "bacterial SSU rRNA". It matches the Rfam family "Archaeal small subunit ribosomal RNA", at positions 54 to 859 of the family's 1478-position model. The record is from RNAcentral. Lineage: Archaea; Thermoproteati; Thermoproteota.
CGAGUGGCUCAGCCAAUACGAGCCACGGCAUACAGCUCAGUAACACGUGGCUAAUCUGCCCUUAGGACGAGAACAACCCCGGGAAACUGGGGCUAACUCUCGAUAGGCGAAGAACUCUGGAAUGAGUCUUCACCUAAAUAGUUCAGCGUUACGCUCGUUGGACCGCCUAAGGAUGAGGCCGCGACCGAUCAGGUUGUUGGUGAGGUAAUGGCUCACCAAGCCUUUUACCGGUGCGGGCCGUGAGAGCGGGAGCCCGGAGAUGGGCACUGAGACAAGGGCCCAGGCCCUACGGGGCGCAGCAGUCGCGAAAACUUUGCAAUACACGAAAGUGUGACAGGGCUAUCCCGAGUGCCAUCCGCUGAGGAAGGCUUUUACCCUGUCUAGGAAGCUGGGGGAAUAAGGAGAGGGCAAGUCUGGUGUCAGCCGCCGCGGUAAUACCAGCUCUCCGAGUGGUGUGGAUGUUUAUUGGGCCUAAAGCAUCCGUAGCUGGCUAAGUUAGUCCCUUGUUAAAUCCACCGAAUUAAUCGUUGGAUUGCGGGGGAUACUGCUUGGCUAAGGGACGAGAGAGGCAGACGGUAUUUCCGGGGUAGGGGUGAAAUCCUAUAAUCCCGGGAAGACCACCAGUGGCGAAGGCUGUCUGCUAGAACGCGCCCGACGGUGAGGGAUGAAAGCUGGGGGAGCGAACCGGAUUAGAUACCCGGGUAGUCCCAGCUGUAAACGAUGCAGGCUAGGUGUUUGGACGGCCACGUGCCGUUCUAGUGCCGCAGGGAAGCUGUUAAGCCUGCCGCCUGGGGAGUACGAUCGCAAGAUUGAAACUUAA